Molecule: ribosomal RNA, 504 nt
Filed under: uncultured bacterium
Lineage: Bacteria
Description: partial 16S ribosomal RNA
Rfam family: Bacterial small subunit ribosomal RNA
Source: RNAcentral
AUUGAACGCUGGCGGCAUGCCUUACACAUGCAAGUCGAACGGCAGCAUAGAGAGCUUGCUCUCUGAUGGCGACUGGCGAACGGGUGAGUAAUGCAUCGGAACGUACCGUGUAAUGGGGGAUAACGUAGCGAAAGUUACGCUAAUACCGCAUACGACCUGAGGGUGAAAGCAGGGGAUCGCAAGACCUUGCGUUAUACGAGCGGCCGAUGUCAGAUUAGCUAGUUGGUGAGGUAAAGGCUCACCAAGGCGACGAUCUGUAGCGGGUCUGAGAGGAUGAUCCGACACACUGGGACUGAGACACGGCCCAGACUCCUACGGGAGGCAGCAGUGGGGAAUUUUGGACAAUGGGGGCAACCCUGAUCCAGCCAUGCCGCGUGAGUGAAGAAGGCCUUCGGGUUGUAAAGCUCUUUCGGCCGGGAAGAAAUCGCACAGGCUAAUACUCUGUGUGGAUGACGGUACCGGCAUAAGAAGCACCGGCUAACUACGUGCCAGCCGCCGCGGUAA